GCUAGACACAUUUGCUUCUCCUUUUAAAAAUGGAAAUGACAAGCUCUUGCCACUUUCAUAUGCAGCCGGACAUGGUGUAUUUGUGUUUCUGAGGUUAUUGUACAAGACGAAUUGGGUGAGUGAUUUGAAGUUAAAAUUAGCUCAUUUUUGUCAACUUAUUUAUUUACUGGUAUAUUUAGGCUCGAAAUUAAUUUCUUCCCUUUUUUUUGUCUCCCUACAACUUUGUAUAAAACAGGUUCAUAUGACAUUAAUCCUACAAAUAAACCAUUUGGAUUAGAAGUCAUUUCCUUCAUGAAAAUUACCUUUCUUGACAUAGUAAUCAUUACUUUUUAUGAUGUCUGUAAAUCUAGAUUAAAAAUUCUCUAGGCUGGAAAUAAGAUUUAAUUUUAGAGCUAUUUUGUCCUUGAUUAUUGACACAGAAUCUUGUGGUGUUGAGCAAGGCAGAGGCUGUGUGCUGCAAUCUCUGUUGAGGAGGGAAACUCCCAGUGCUCUGCAUAGUGAACUGAUCACAUAGAAGUUUCUUUAGCAUGGGAAUGUGCUUCCAUGUUUCCCUGAAGAGCAAAGUACAGCGGUAGAAUGGCAGAUCCGUCCAGAAGUCAGUCCAAAAAGAUAGAUACCAUCAUGCUGACUGAUUCUUUUUCACAAUGCUGCUGUGAUGCCUCAGACACAAGCCCAAGCAUCUACCAAGCUGCUUCUUCCCUCCAAGUGACAAAAAGAAAAGAAAAGAAAAUGACAGGUACCAUCAGCCCACUUUUUACCCUGAUCUAUGCGGUCCUUAGCAACCAGAGUAUCUACACUGAGGCACGUUGCUGUGGUUGUCAUAACUUUGAAGAAAACAAAUCUUCAAAGAUCUUUUUUAUCUUUUCCAGGAAGAUAUGUCAAUCCUUUGAUGGUAAAAAGCAUUAAAACUCAAAAUUGAGAGGCAAAAUAUAUCAUAUCCCACUAAAAACUCCUUGAGCCAGAUAACUGCCAGCAUGUACAGUUAGAAGGGUAAUAAUAGCUAGUGACUGCUGUGUGGAAUGUGUUAAGACUUCUAAAUAUAUUAUUUCAUUUAAUUCUUGCAACUAUUUAUAGUAAAAAAUAAGAGGACUGAUGUUAAACAUGUUAGUUUUGCCUGCACUAAAAGCUUAAAAGAAUUAAUAAUGAGAUACGGAACUAUCAUACACAAAGCAUUCAGAAAAGCAUUUGUAAAUGAAUAUCUUAAAGGUAUCCUUCAACUGACACUUGUUCUGAUAUGGCUACUUAGUUGUCUCUAAAGCAAAAAGUACAUGUCGAGAGGUACUAAGUAAGAUAAGAGUUCUCCUUCCCAGUUCUUGCAGGCCUGUGUACUUAAUUUGACAAACACAUUGUUCCAAAAGUAAGCCAUGGGAGCUGGGCAUCAUGGCAUACACCUGUAGUCCCAGCUACUCAGGAGGCUGAAGUGGGAUGAUCCCUUGAGCCCAGGAGUUCGAGGCUGCAGUGAGCCAUGAUCAUGCCUCUGCACUCCAGCCUGAGUGACAGAGCAAGACCCUGUCUCUAAAACAAAACAAAAGUAAGCCAUGGGAGGCAGAUGUAGUAGAAUGGGAAAAAUGGAAAUACUAGCUUUGAAGCCUACACUGACCUUCUACUCAUGAGUCCCAGCCAGCAGCUGGGCAUUUGGGUGCAGGAGAGAGGGACAAGAAUACUUCCCCCAGUAAGAGCAAAAUGGAAUGCUACAAUCAUAGCCCAGUGGGCAGAGAUGGAAGGCAGAGCUUCAGGCACCCAGACAGUAUAUGUGGGUGUACGGCCUUUCAGAAUGUGGCUUAUGGCAGUCGGGUGUUAAAGGCUCACCACAGGCACAGCAGGUCCAACCUAGGGAAGGCCAAGGCUGUCAAGGUAUUCCCUGCCCUAAAAAGACUUCGCUCAAUGUCUCUCUGAACGUAGGCAUCUAAACUGGUAAAGUUCAGACUCCUUAGUGCUUGACACUAUGGUACUCUUGGGAUCUUGCUAAAAUGGUGUUGUGAGUUGAAUAGUGUGCCCCCAAAUAUCAUGUCUACCUGGAACCUUAGAAUGUAACCUUAUUUGGAAAACGGGUUUUUGCAGAAGUAAUUAGUUAAGAUGAAGUCAUCUUGGAUUAGGGUGGGCCCUACAUCCGAUUUCACCGGCGUCCUUAGAAAAAGAAGAAAGGACACACCAAGGUACACAGAUGUACAGGGAGGAAGGCCCUGUGAAGACAAAGGUGAAGACUGAAGUGAUGUAGCUAUGAGCCAAGGAGUGCCAAGGGUUGUCGGGAGCCACCAGAAGCUGUUGGAGGAGACCAGGGUGGAUUCCUCUCUAGAGCCGUCAGAGGAAGCAUGGCCCUGCCCAACGCCUUGAUACCAGGCUUUCAGCCUUCCAGCACCAUAAGAGAAUACGUUUCUGUUAUUUUCAGCCACUUUGUUAAAACAGCCCUAGGGAACUAAUACAACUGGUGAAAUUAAAGAACUCUCAGGAUCUCACUCUAGAGCUUACUUCUCACAGCUCCACAUCACAGCCAAAUAGCCUUUUUAACGAUCCAGAUUCCAUAUCUUGUCAAUCAGUUAAAAAAUAAUAAUAAUUAAAAAAAGGUCCAGAAAGUGCUCAGCACUUUCCCAGGGGUACUAUCCCACCACCUGGAGUGCCCCAUCUCUACCCACCCACCACUACAUGUCCAGAGCUCCCUCCUUCUGAGCCCGGUGCAGAAGGCAUCCCACAGAACACUACCUGAUCCCCCAAAUCAGACAUAAUCUUACUGUCUUCAGAAAUCUCGCAGCACUUUCUUUGUAUUUCACAUUGCCC
This 2775-nucleotide long non-coding RNA is filed under the name Homo sapiens (human). RNAcentral describes it as "LHRI_LNC1211.1". Lineage: Eukaryota; Metazoa; Chordata; Mammalia; Primates; Hominidae. The record is from RNAcentral.